This 66-nucleotide transfer RNA is filed under the name Ips shangrila. RNAcentral's name for it is "tRNA-Tyr". It matches the Rfam family "tRNA". From Rfam's summary of the family: Transfer RNA (tRNA) molecules are approximately 80 nucleotides in length. Their secondary structure includes four short double-helical elements and three loops (D, anti-codon, and T loops). Further hydrogen bonds mediate the characteristic L-shaped molecular structure. tRNAs have two regions of fundamental functional importance: the anti-codon, which is responsible for specific mRNA codon recognition, and the 3' end, to which the tRNAs corresponding amino acid is attached (by aminoacyl-tRNA synthetases). tRNAs cope with the degeneracy of the genetic code in two manners: having more than one tRNA (with a specific anti-codon) for a particular amino acid; and 'wobble' base-pairing, i.e. permitting non-standard base-pairing at the 3rd anti-codon position. Lineage: Eukaryota; Metazoa; Arthropoda; Insecta; Coleoptera; Curculionidae. The record is from RNAcentral.
GAUAAAAUGGCUGAAGAAAAAGGCGGUAAAUUGUAAAUUUAUUUAUGAAAUUAGUUUCUUUUAUCA